AUACUUACCUGGCAGGGGCGAUACCAUGACCACGAAGGUGGUUCACCCAGGGCGAGGCUCUGCCGUUGCACUUGGGUGGAAUUCCCCAAUUGCGGGAAUCCCAACUGCAUAAUUUCUGGUAGUGGGGGACAGUGUUUACGCUUGG
Molecule: small nuclear RNA, 145 nt
Organism: Pygocentrus nattereri (red-bellied piranha)
Lineage: Eukaryota; Metazoa; Chordata; Actinopteri; Characiformes; Serrasalmidae
Gene: U1
Rfam family: U1 spliceosomal RNA
About the family: U1 is a small nuclear RNA (snRNA) component of the spliceosome (involved in pre-mRNA splicing). Its 5' end forms complementary base pairs with the 5' splice junction, thus defining the 5' donor site of an intron.
Source: Ensembl